This 497-nucleotide ribosomal RNA is filed under the name uncultured bacterium. RNAcentral describes it as "partial 16S ribosomal RNA". It matches the Rfam family "Bacterial small subunit ribosomal RNA", at positions 28 to 507 of the family's 1533-position model. The record is from RNAcentral.
GAUGAACGCUGGCGGCGUGCCUAAUACAUGCAAGUCGAGCGAACAGACGAGGAGCUUGCUCCUCUGACGUUAGCGGCGGACGGGUGAGUAACACGUGGAUAACCUACCUAUAAGACUGGGAUAACUUCGGGAAACCGGAGCUAAUACCGGAUAAUAUAUUGAACCGCAUGGUUCAAUAGUGAAAGACGGUUUUGCUGUCACUUAUAGAUGGAUCCGCGCCGCAUUAGCUAGUUGGUAAGGUAACGGCUUACCAAGGCGACGAUGCGUAGCCGACCUGAGAGGGUGAUCGGCCUCACUGGAACUGAGACACGGUCCAGACUCCUACGGGAGGCAGCAGUAGGGAAUCUUCCGCAAAGGGCGAAAGCCUGACGGAGCAACGCCGCGUGAGUGAUGAAGGUCUUCGGAUCGUAAAACUCUGUUAUUAGGGAAGAACAAAUGUGUAAGUAACUAUGCACGUCUUGACGGUACCUAAUCAGAAAGCCACGGCUAACUACGUG